UACGGAGGGAGCUAGCGUUUUUCGGAAUUACUGGGCGUAAAGAGCAUGUAGGCGGCUUAUUAAGUUGAAAGUGAAAGCCCAGGGCUUAACCCUGGAACUGCUUUCAAAACUGAUAAGCUAGAGGAUGAUAGGGGACAGUGGAAUUCCUAGUGUAGAGGUGAAAUUCUUAGAUAUUAGGAGGAACACCGGUGGCGAAGGCGACUGUCUGGAUCAUUACUGACGCUGAGAUGCGAAAGCGUGGGGAGCAAACAGG
Molecule: ribosomal RNA, 253 nt
Filed under: uncultured bacterium
Lineage: Bacteria
Also listed under: 1 other name
Description: partial 16S ribosomal RNA
Rfam family: Bacterial small subunit ribosomal RNA
Source: RNAcentral